This 96-nucleotide transfer RNA is filed under the name Colletotrichum higginsianum. RNAcentral's name for it is "tRNA CH063_16445". It matches the Rfam family "tRNA". Rfam says of the family: Transfer RNA (tRNA) molecules are approximately 80 nucleotides in length. Lineage: Eukaryota; Fungi; Ascomycota; Sordariomycetes; Glomerellales; Glomerellaceae. The record is from Rfam by way of RNAcentral. RNAcentral also lists the same sequence under 1 other name.
UCCCCGAUAGUCUAGUGGUGAGGAUGUCUGCUUGUCAUCGACACGUUCAGUGAACGCUGCGCGCAGGAGACCUGGGUUCAAUUCCCAGUCGGGGAG